Molecule: long non-coding RNA, 446 nt
Filed under: Brachypodium distachyon (stiff brome)
Lineage: Eukaryota; Viridiplantae; Streptophyta; Magnoliopsida; Poales; Poaceae
Description: long non-coding RNA (BDIS_LNC001645)
Source: RNAcentral
GCUCGUUUAGCUAGGGAUGAGGAAAACAUUUUUUUUCUUUUGACACGAGGAAGAGAAACACUUAGAUUUACGUAUGUGAGCCAUCGAUCACAGAUCCUCGUUGACGUUUCCAGACCGUUUUCCUGAUCGACGCGUUCAUCUGAAACUUUUUUUUUAGAUAUCACCCUGCAGAGGAAGGAAAACAUUGACAGGUAGAAUAGAAAGCCAUUUUCUCGGCAAAAAGAAAAAAAAAUAGAUAGGCAUGAACACCAGGCUCUUCGCCGUUAUGACCAGACCUGCUUCACUUGCAAUUUGUAUUGAAAAGAAACUGCUUAGAUUACUUAACUAAGUUGUCCAAAUGAAAAUGGCAUCAGGUGCACUGUCUCGAGAUCAGGAUCUGAGUUUGUUUUUUCUCCCUCUAUAUACUAGUCCCUCUGAAUUGUACUAAAUUAAAAACACUUAUUAUG